UCUCCAUUUGCAAAUGUCUGGUGAAUGGAAAAAGUGGACAGAUCGAGAGCGUGGAUCUGCCGGACAUCAGUAGUCACUCACAGAACCGCAGAAUUGAUUCAUUUCUAAACUUAAUUGGAAUUCCAGGAUGCAGGCUGUACGCAACUGACCUUCAAAUCCUUUUUGGAUUGUGUUGCCAAUACAUUUGACAUUCCAACAAGACCUUGGUGUGCUGGAGAUUUGUUUACCCCAAGACCCAAAUCCUGAUGAUUCUUUGAGUUCCUCUGCAAGCAGCUCCUUAUCAAAAUACAGUGGAGACAAUGAGGGGGACUCCGAUGACACCAUUAUAUUGCAGCAGAUUCCUGCUACAAGAAAGACAGCUGGGGAUAAUCGUCUAUCUCAUGUGAACACAGAGCGCUUUGAGUCGGAGACCAGGGUGAUAAACCAUGUGGAGGGAGGCUGGCCCAAGGACGUCAACCCCCAGGAGAUGGAGCAGACUGUCCACUUCAGGAAGAAAGUGGAGAAAGACAAGCAUUAUUUCAGCACCAUCAUGCAGCUGGGCAGUGCGUGACAGACAUCAGCCAGUCAAGUAGCCACGAUAUGACCCGGGUCAUAGAGAUUUUUCAAUUCAAUAAUAUUUUAUUGAAUUAAUCACUAGUGUAUAACAUUAUGCCAUAUCUAAAUAAUACGUCCUAUAGCAGCAUACCACCCUGCAUCCCACUGAUGUCUUUCCUCUGAAGCUACAGUAAGCAGGGUUGGUCCUGGUCAGUCCCUAGAUGAGACCAGAUGCUGCCGGAUGUGGUGUUGGAGGGCCAGUAGGGGGCACUCUUUUCUCUGAUAAUUUUUAAAAAAAGUUGCUGUCUUUUGGAUGGAACAUUAAAUGGGUGUCCUGACUCUCUGUGGUCAGUAAGAAUCCCAUGGCACUUAUAGUAAGAGUAUGGGUGUUAACUGGCCCUGAAUCUAGGUCGUCGCUGUAAAUAAGAAUUUGGUUUUAACUGACUUGCCUAGUUAAAUAAAGGUUAAAUAAAACAUGUAAAAACGUCAUCUACAUUGCCCCAAAGCCAUUUCUUAGCUGCUGCAGUAGUGUGAUAGAUAGAGAAAAUGACCAGUUCUGAAAGGGAGAGAGCAAGAAGAGUGUUCCUCUCUAUCUCUGAUCACAGCCCUCUGUUCCUCCCGUGAGAACACAGAACAUGGAGCACAGCAUCAAGCAGAACACUGCCAUCAACAUCUACCGGGAGUACUUUGAAGGGGAGGAGGUGGUGGAGGAGUCAAAACCAUCAAUGUUUUUAAGUGCUUCCAUGACCUCUAUUAACCUAUCGUCCAACAUAGAAUCCACAAAUGAUGUAUAUUACCAGUGUAUUGUGUCCGUCUGAGUGGUUUUUGAUCUUACAGAAACCCGAACAAGAUAAAACACACUGCCACCUCAUUGGAGUUCCUGAAAGUCUAAAGACGUUAGCUACAACUCUGAUAUAUGGAACAUUGAUAGGUGUAUGACUCAAACAUCUCUUUCAUUUAUAUUUUCCUUUCUAACAGGGAUUAUCAUUGCAAUAGCUGUGGCAGUGAGAUUGACUAAUUUGUCAUCUUAAUUGAUAGUUCAGAAAGUCAAAGUGGACUACAAAGUAUUAAUUAAUUGAAUCCCCUGUGUUGCCUCUUCAGAGAAUAGGAAUAAGCCAGAAAUGACCCUAAAACCUGUCUCUCCACUGGUCUGUCUGGAAUACAACCCCCCAAAGACUCCCACAUCCUGGUCGGAGGUAGCUACAAUGGCCAGAUCAGUGGGUCCUUCACACAGCUGUAUCAUGCUUCCUGCCAGCUCAGGAACAAUGUCCUUAGGAGAUUACUGUGCAGUGUAAAGAACUUUGGAGAUAUAGUCAAGUCAUCCAACUCCAGACUACAGCUAUUUGUAAAUGUCAUAAAGGUUCCAGUUAUGUAAUGUCUGGAUUUGUCCGGAUGCUCUUUUGAGCAUUUAAGCCUCUAGAUAUUUGUUUAGGCUCUGGCAGUUAAUAGUUGUGUUGUGUGUUCUUGUCAUUUGUGUGUUUUGUGCAUGCAUGCAUGUGUGUUUGUGAAAGGACACAAAGUAAAAUGUCUGCGCAGCUUAUUUGGACACUCGCAAGGGCAGCUAGCCAGUGGAAAUGUCCACACUAGAGCACAGCCACAGAGACCCAGUCUACAAAGUAAUCUGGUUGCAGUCAAAGACUGGAACCGAUACCUUCUCUGCGUCUAAGGACGGCCAGGUGAACCAAGCCUCCAAUAGAAGCAAUAAAAGCCUUUGUCACCUUAUCCCUUUCUCAAGCCAAGCAGGCACAAUAGGCCAGGGUGGCACUAAACGCUCAGGACUCAUGGGCAGUGAAGUCUGAUACUCUUGGUCCGGGACAGGUGCACUUUCUCUGACCUUCAAUUGCCAUUUGGCCAUAGCCAGAAGUUAUGUAAUAAUGCAUCUAUUGAAGGCAAGGAGACUGACUAAUCGGCCCUGAGUUGACCACUGGUCUCUGUCUAUAAGGUGCUGGGGUGGGACAUUCGUAAGAUGAGCGAGCCCACAGAGAGGCUGGUACUGGACCCUAACAAGAAGUGCAAUCUGGACAAUGCCCUGGGGGUGAUCUCACUGGAGUUUGAGACCACUAUGGUGCUGAGGCUCUCUAGACUGGACUAUCCUUCUGUUGUUUCACUGUUGAUGAAUUAAGAGUGUGGAUUCGCCUAACGUAUUUUUGUAUGAACUGGUCCAAGUGGGAGAUCUAGUAUGUCAUCUAUUUGUAUUUGUACAUAAGGAAGACCAAAUUUAACCUGAUGUUUUUCCUUAUUCUGACCACAAGGGCUGUUGGUCUCAUGUAACCAAAAGGCCAAGAGCCCACCUGAGAAGAUAGUGUGCACGUACAGCGGUCCUCACGGCCCAAUCUACGCCCUGCAAAAGAACCCGUUCUUAAGAACUUCCUGACCGUAGCCGAUUGGAAAGCCCAUAUCUGGUCGGAAGACCUCAUGUGGACAAAAUCGCAUACAGUCUAUCUGUCUGAAGGCUGAUGGAGUCCAAUACGGCCCUCUGUGUUCUUCGCCAUCAAAAUGGACCAAAUACUCGACAUUUGGGACUUCCUCUUCAAACAGAACGACCCCACACU
Molecule: long non-coding RNA, 3086 nt
Organism: Oncorhynchus keta (chum salmon)
Lineage: Eukaryota; Metazoa; Chordata; Actinopteri; Salmoniformes; Salmonidae
Exons: 6
Source: RefSeq, a predicted model, not a curated record